UACGUAGGGGGCUAGCGUUGCUCGGAAUUACUGGGCGUAAAGGGCGCGUAGGCGGCCAUGUAAGUUAGAGGUGAAAGCCCAGGGCUCAACCUGGGAAUUGCAUUUGAGACUGCGUAGCUAGGGUGCGGAAGAGGGAAGCGGAAUUUCCGGUGUAGCGGUGAAAUGCGUAGAUAUCGGAAGGAACACCAGUGGCGAAAGCGGCUUCCUGGUCCAGCACCGACGUUCAGGCACGAAAGCGUGGGGAGCAAACAGG
RNAcentral lists this ribosomal RNA (253 nucleotides) under uncultured bacterium. RNAcentral's name for it is "partial 16S ribosomal RNA". It matches the Rfam family "Bacterial small subunit ribosomal RNA", at positions 524 to 776 of the family's 1533-position model. The record is from RNAcentral.